RNAcentral lists this long non-coding RNA (1048 nucleotides) under Cricetulus griseus (Chinese hamster). RNAcentral's name for it is "lncRNA (ENSCGRG00000026096.1)". Lineage: Eukaryota; Metazoa; Chordata; Mammalia; Rodentia; Cricetidae. The record is from RNAcentral.
AAUGAGUUUUAUGCUACUGGGACUGCCAAAUAGCAUAGUGGCAGGAGAGCAUGUGGAUGGCAGGAGGGCGUGUGGAUGGAGGAGAAAUCUGUGGGUGUUGGGAAGGCAUGGUGAUGGGGACAAGAAGGCAGGGCACACCAGAUUAAUCUACCUGGGCACUUACCUGCUUUCUGUGAUGGGCAUGCCCCAAACAGGAAUCAGCGGAGCCAGUACUUCAAUUGAAUUAAACCUACUUUUCUCAGUAAAGUGAAAAAUAAGAUCGAUUUUGGGAGCACAGUGCCCGUGAGAUUUUUAAAAAGUACAAAUUGUCCUAAGUCAGCACAGGUAUCCUUGUAAUGGGGACAGAGGGACAGCAGCAUUUCUCCAUCUGUCCAUGAGCAGGAGUCACCUGGGAUCCAUGAAAUGAAAUGCAGGUUCUGGUGUCACGGGUCUCGGGUAGGGCCUGAAGUACCGCAUUUCUUUUUUGUUUGUUUUGUUUUUCAAGACAGGGUUUCUCUGUAUAACAGUCCUGGCUGUCCUGGAACAACUUCUGCAUUUCUAACAAGCUUGGCCAACAUUACACACCCCUGGAGUGGCAAGGCUCCGUGACAUUCCUAGCACAUGAGAAAGCCCAACUGCCCAGGUCAGCCAAGUGCAAAGGUGAUGCCCCACCCAAUCUGCCAAAUGGAAAUCUUCUAGAUCAUUCUAUAGUUCCCAGGGGACCUCCUUGCCUAGUCUUGCCACCAACACUAACAGUAGAAAACUCCUUUUUGUUUGUCAUGCAUCUCUUCCCAUGUUAGGUCAGGGAAAGGGAUAUGAUCAACCAGGGAACCCUGGGGAGGAGUGCGGUCGGGAAUCUCAGAGGAAGCAAAAGCAACUGGAGCAGGCAAAACAGACCUUGGGAGUGUCUCACCCGGGCCUUGAAAGCAGGAAGUGCAGGAAGGAUAGAGAGGUCCUCUCUCCAAUGCAGCUUCAAGUAUCCUGGGACAAGAGAAGCACGGAAGAGAUCGGAUGCCCAGGCCCAGUACCAGCUACAGAAGGGGCUAAUGCAACCUCCAGGCCAAGGUGA